Molecule: ribosomal RNA, 501 nt
Filed under: uncultured bacterium
Lineage: Bacteria
Description: partial 16S ribosomal RNA
Rfam family: Bacterial small subunit ribosomal RNA
Source: RNAcentral
AUUGAACGCUGGCGGCAUGCCUUACACAUGCAAGUCGAACGGCAGCACGGGUGCUUGCACCUGGUGGCGAGUGGCGAACGGGUGAGUAAUACAUCGGAACGUACCUUAUCGUGGGGGAUAACGCAGCGAAAGCUGUGCUAAUACCGCAUACGCCCUGAGGGGGAAAGCGGGGGAUCGAAAGACCUCGCGCGAUUAGAGCGGCCGAUGCCUGAUUAGCUUGUUGGUGGGGUAAAAGCCCACCAAGGCGACGAUCAGUAGCUGGUCUGAGAGGACGAGCAGCCACACUGGGACUGAGACACGGCCCAGACUCCUACGGGGGGCAGCAGUGGGGAAUUUUGGACAAUGGGGGCAACCCUGAUCCAGCAAUGCCGCGUGAGUGAAGAAGGCCUUCGGGUUGUAAAGCUCUUUUGUCAGGGAAGAAACACCGGCUCUAACACAGUCCGGGAAUGACGGUACCUGAAGAAUAAGCACCGGCUAACUACGUGCCAGCAGCCGCCGUAA